CAACACGAUGCCUCCGUCCGCUCCCGUGGCCGGACAACCGCUUCCUCCGCUCGCCGCCCAUCAGUCGCUGGUGCCACCUCCCCUGUGUCCUCCUCCCUUCACCGGUGCCACCUUCCCCGUCGCUCGUCGUCAACUUAAAUUGGAGGAAAAGUGAAACAGAGGAAGGCUGAAUUCCAGGAGCCUGGAGCAAUGAUCAGCUGGAAGAGAAGGGAGCAACAUCUGAAGAAUACAGGAGGGAGAUCAACAAGAAACAUACUUCAAGCGCUGAAAGUGCCUGCUGAACAUUAGAGCUUUAAACUUGUACUUUUGUUCCUGGAACUUUAGCUGUAAUGCCUGGUGUUUUUGUUGAUGUCUGCUCUCAGUUUGUGCUAGUGCUAGUGAUGGGAUGGCAUCACAAACUACCUGUUCUGAAAGCUGCACAUUAUGCAUGCUAGUCGUUGUUUUUCAGGCUCGAAAAUACUCUCUUCGUCCCAAAAAAAAAAGCCAACCUAAGUACAGAUGGGACAUGUCUAGAUUUGUUGUACUAUGUAAUGUCUCAUUGGUACCUAAGUUGGCUCUUUUGAGACGGAGGGAGUAUGACAUUAACUGGUACAUCAUUUAUGAA
Molecule: long non-coding RNA, 604 nt
Organism: Oryza sativa Japonica Group (Japanese rice)
Lineage: Eukaryota; Viridiplantae; Streptophyta; Magnoliopsida; Poales; Poaceae
Source: RefSeq, a predicted model, not a curated record